Molecule: ribosomal RNA, 585 nt
Filed under: uncultured bacterium
Lineage: Bacteria
Description: partial 16S ribosomal RNA
Rfam family: Bacterial small subunit ribosomal RNA
Source: RNAcentral
UUGGGAAUUUUGGACAAUGGGCGAAAGCCUGAUCCAGCAAUGCCGCGUGUGUGAAGAAGGCCUUCGGGUUGUAAAGCACUUUUGUCCGGAAAGAAAUCCUUGGCUCUAAUACAGUCGGGGGAUGACGGUACCGGAAGAAUAAGCACCGGCUAACUACGUGCCAGCAGCCGCGGUAAUACGUAGGGUGCAAGCGUUAAUCGGAAUUACUGGGCGUAAAGCGUGCGCAGGCGGUUUGCUAAGACCGAUGUGAAAUCCCCGGGCUCAACCUGGGAACUGCAUUGGUGACUGGCAGGCUAGAGUAUGGCAGAGGGGGGUAGAAUUCCACGUGUAGCAGUGAAAUGCGUAGAGAUGUGGAGGAAUACCGAUGGCGAAGGCAGCCCCCUGGGCCAAUACUGACGCUCAUGCACGAAAGCGUGGGGAGCAAACAGGAUUAGAUACCCUGGUAGUCCACGCCCUAAACGAUGUCAACUAGUUGUUGGGGAUUCAUUUCCUUAGUAACGUAGCUAACGCGUGAAGUUGACCGCCUGGGGAGUACGGUCGCAAGAUUAAAACUUAAAGGAAUUGACGGGGUCAUAGCUGUUUCCU